GAUGAACGCUGGCGGCGUGCCUAAUACAUGCCAGUCGAGCGAACAGAUGAGGAGCUUGCUCCUCUGACGUUAGCGGCGGACGGGUGAGUAACACGUGGAUAACCUACCUAUAAGACUGGGAUAACUUCGGGAAACCGGAGCUAAUACCGGAUAAUAUAUUGAACCGCAUGGUUCAAUAGUGAAAGACGGUUUUGUUGUCACUUAUAGAUGGAUCCGCGCCGCAUUAGCUAGUUGGUAAGGUAACGGCUUACCAAGGCAACGAUGCGUAGCCGACCUGAGAGGGUGAUCGGCCACACUGGAACUGAGACACGGUCCAGACUCCUACGGGAGGCAGCAGUAGGGAAUCUUCCGCAAUGGGCGAAAGCCUGACGGAGCAACGCCGCGUGAGUGAUGAAGGUCUUCGGAUCGUAAAACUCUGUUAUUGGGGAAGAACAAAUGUGUAAGUAACUAUGCACGUCUUGACGGUACCUAAUCAGAAAGCCACGGCUAACUACGUG
RNAcentral lists this ribosomal RNA (497 nucleotides) under uncultured bacterium. Its description in RNAcentral is "partial 16S ribosomal RNA". It matches the Rfam family "Bacterial small subunit ribosomal RNA", at positions 28 to 507 of the family's 1533-position model. The record is from RNAcentral.